This is a non-coding RNA of Ameiurus melas (black bullhead), 72 nucleotides long. The record is from the annotation of a GenBank genome assembly. NCBI's taxonomy places the organism in Eukaryota, Metazoa, Chordata, Actinopteri, Siluriformes, Ictaluridae.
GGCUAUGGGCUUAGUGGUUAGCACGUUCGCCUUGCAUGUCCAGGGUUUGGGGUUUGAUUCCCGCCAUGGCCC